RNAcentral lists this ribosomal RNA (420 nucleotides) under uncultured eukaryote. Its description in RNAcentral is "SSU rRNA". It matches the Rfam family "Eukaryotic small subunit ribosomal RNA", at positions 592 to 1018 of the family's 1831-position model. The record is from RNAcentral.
CAAUAGCGUAUAUUAAAGUUGUUGCAGUUAAAAGCUCGUAGUUGGAUCUCGGGUCCAGGCUGGAGGUCCACCUCGCGGUGGUUACUUCUCGUCCUGACCUACCAUCGGGUUUUCCCUUGGUGCUCUUGACUGAGUGUCUCGGGUGGCCAGAACGUUUACUUUGAAAAAUUAGAGUGUUCAAAGCAGGCGCGUCGCCUGAAUAAUGGUGCAUGGAAUAAUGGAACAGGACCUCGGUUCUAUUUUGUUGGUUUUCGGAAGUCGAGGUAAUGAUUAAGAGGGACAGACGGGGGCAUUCGUAUUACGGUGUUAGAGGUGAAAUUCUUGGAUCGCCGUAAGACGAACUACUGCGAAAGCAUUUGCCAAGAAUGUUUUCAUUAAUCAAGAACGAAAGUCAGAGGUUCGAAGACGAUCAGAUACCGU